This 433-nucleotide ribosomal RNA is filed under the name uncultured bacterium. Its description in RNAcentral is "partial 16S ribosomal RNA". It matches the Rfam family "Bacterial small subunit ribosomal RNA", at positions 29 to 507 of the family's 1533-position model. The record is from RNAcentral.
AACGAACGCUGGCGGCAUGCCUAACACAUGCAAGUCGAACGAAACCUCCGGGUCUAGUGGCGCACGGGGGCGUAACGCGUGGGAACCUUCCCUUAGGUUCGGAAUAACUCCCCGAAAGGGGUGCUAAUACCGGACAAUGUCUUCUGACCAAAGAUUUAUCGCCUUUGGAUGGGCCCGAGUUGGAUUAGCUAGUUGGUAGGGUAAAAGCCUCCCACGGCGACGAUCCAUAGCUGGUCUGAGAGGAAGAUCAGCGACACUGGGAGGGGGACGCGGCCGAGAAUCUUCCGCGAGGCACCAGUGCCGAAUGGUGCAACGUGGGGGAAAGCAUGAUCCUCUACUGACGCGAGAGUGCUGAAAUCAUUAGGGUUGUAAAGCUCUUUUACCCGGGCUGAUCAUGACAGUACCGAAAGAAUAAGCCACGGCUAACUACGUG